UGUACCUACGAGGACCAUCUAUUACGAUCAGGCCUCAACAAUAUCAGGCAGAUACCUCUGUACCAAUAAACUACACAAUAUGCUCAGUUUCUAAUUCGGGGAAUAAUCCAACUAAUCUCGUUGUCCCUGAUCUCGAUGAGGUGGCAGAAAUGGUACGCGAGACCGUCUUUUAGCUUUACGGUUGAUUUGGGGCGUUCGGGUCAGCACCUAACACGUUUACAUACUGAAAAAUCAGUAGCCAAUAUUGAUUAAAAUCCUUCAUUUAAUCAAUCCAUAACUUUUACCCAACAACAAUGUCGAAACAACAAUUUACAUGUAAUUGCAUUUCCGCUUCCCGAUUUGUGAGAUCUAAAUGGUCAAUUGAUCAAGAACAUUUUUCUAUAAUUGACAUGUGAUUAAAGGCUGAUUAGGAGGAUUCAAGAACUCAAAUUAAUGCUGGAAAUAGAUGGGUUGGAACCAAGAAAUAAAACAACUCCCUUUCUUGCACAUAGGCGCACGUACCACCACCCACGGUGGCCAGAUUCGGGGCUAAUUUAAAAAAAAUUUAAAGAUCCAUUAAAAAUUUGAACAAAUAACUUUAAAAUAUUUAAAAUUCCCAUAAAUUCUAGAUCUGGAAAGUUAUGUUUUUAAUUGACAAGAUUAAUCCCAUAAACUACCCGAUAUGCUCAGUUUCUAAUCCGGGGAAUAAUCCAACUAAUCUCGUUGUCCCUGAUCUCGAUGAGGUGGCAGAAAUGGUACGCGCGAAUGUCUUUUAGCUUUACGGUUGAUUAGGGGCGUUCGUGUCAGCACCUAACACGUUUACAUACUAAAAAAUCAGUAGCCAAUAUUGAUUAAAAUCCUUCAUUUGAAAAAAUAAAUAGUUCAAGCACUC
This 871-nucleotide long non-coding RNA is filed under the name Gossypium raimondii (Peruvian cotton). RNAcentral's name for it is "long non-coding RNA (GRAI_LNC011282)". The record is from RNAcentral. Lineage: Eukaryota; Viridiplantae; Streptophyta; Magnoliopsida; Malvales; Malvaceae.